CGCCAGACUCCUACGGGAGGCAGCAGUGAGGAAUAUUGGUCAAUGGGCGGAAGCCUGAACCAGCCAAGUCGCGUGAGGGAAUAAGGCCCUACGGGUCGUAAACCUCUUUUGCCGGGGAGCAAGGGCGGGGACGUGUCCCGGCCCGGAGAGUACCCGGAGAAAAAGCAUCGGCUAACUCCGUGCCAGCAGCCGCGGUAAUACGGAGGAUGCGAGCGUUAUCCGGAUUUAUUGGGUUUAAAGGGUGCGUAGGCGGGACGGUAAGUCAGCGGUAAAAAUGCGGAGCUCAACUCCGUCGAGCCGUUGAAACUGCCGUUCUUGAGUGAGCGAGAAGUAUGCGGAAUGCGUGGUGUAGCGGUGAAAUGCAUAGAUAUCACGCAGAACUCCGAUUGCGAAGGCAGCAUACCGGCGCGCAACUGACGCUCAUGCACGAAAGCGUGGGUAUCGAACAGGAUUAGAUACCCCGGUAUA
RNAcentral lists this ribosomal RNA (468 nucleotides) under uncultured bacterium. RNAcentral's name for it is "bacterial SSU rRNA". It matches the Rfam family "Bacterial small subunit ribosomal RNA", at positions 329 to 794 of the family's 1533-position model. The record is from RNAcentral.